GCGCGCCGCGGGACGGGUGGCCUCGGGAGCGAGCGCUGCUGGACUUAAAUAGUCCAGCAGCGCUACGCUGCAGUAGUCAGAACGACCACCGGCAUUAAGAGGAUCAUCCCUGGACAAAACGAGCCCCCCUGGACAACGAGCAGAGAAACCAUAAGUAUCAACCCCCCCCUCUAUACCACCAACGAUAUAUAUAUUCCUCCCUCCUAUACCCUACCUACACCCCCUAUAUAAUCCACCCUCCUAUACCCUACCUACCCCCCCUAUACCACCAACGCCACCCUCCUAUACCCUACCUACCCCCCUAUAAACCCUCCUAACCCUAUAGACUGCCCUACACUAUAUCCCUUAUUUCCCCCCAUACCUUGUUGCCCUCCCAUAAUAUACCCUCAUCUCUUAUACCCCUGGUAACCCUCAUUUUCCCUUGACCCAGGUCCUGAUAUCCCCGGUAUUAACGUCCCCUGUUCCCCGGUGUCUCUACCCCCGCAACUGUCCUGCUUACCCCAGCAGCACAGUUUAUGUAAUAACCCCUGAUUCGCCCCCUUAGGGAUAGUAUAUAGUCAGGCUUGGGUGGGCGACCGUUAAGGUGUAUGAAUGUGUAUGGUCAUUGAUACUAGUUAGAUCUUGGGGUGGAUUUGGGACUGCGUUAGUGUAGUCAGUGACGUGUUAGUGUAUUGUAUUAGUGUGUGUAUCUAUAUUAUUGUGCAUUGUUAUAACAAUAUAUAUCUAUCCAUCUGUUUAUAGAUAUAUAUAGUUAUAAACCUAUAAUUCCUUUAUAAUUACAAGGAAUCGCUGCUGUGGAGGUAGCAUAUUGUUGGCACUGUAUUACUUGUGUAUUAAUAAAUACUGUGUCAUUUGUAUCUAUUGUAUAACGUGUGAGUACUAGCGGUAGUCAGUAAGGCGCAUGCAGUAAGUGUAGUUGGUGAUUAGACUAAGGUAAUCAGCUGUAAAUUGUUAUUCUUAAGGCAUAAAUAGGCGGAGUCAUCACCAGACGAUUACGCCUAUUUAUGAAUAUUAAUUAUUGAGAUUUGCAUAAAUAUCAAUAAUUAAUAUCCCCUUUAACAUUGGCGAGCCAGGCCCACUGCUGUGGGUUUGUAUCUGUGGUUGGUUUUGGAACAGAAAAACCGCUUACGCUGUGAACUAAUCAGGUGGGAAGGACGCGGUCAGUGGAUCUGAGCGUCCAUAGCCUGCAAGUUCGGACGGGUAAGAGCGGGUUUUUCUCGAUCAGAACCGGACACAGAGCAAACUUUACAGCAGAGAAUCUAAAAUCUUUCCUGAUCUUUGUGUACUAAUAUUUUCUGAUUCCCUUACACGCCAACUGGAGAGAAGUCAUCACAACACCACUGAAGAGAGAACCAUCAUCGUUGAAACAGAAGUCGUCUAGCUGAACGGGAGAAGGCGUUCCGAAUAUUGAAGGACCUCCUCCAUGCAGCAACACAAGAAUCAACGACACCAAUGAAGAUGGCCUCUCGUCAAAAAUGAUGCCAGGAGAUACAGAGGUCCUCUGUGCUGGCAUGUCUUUCUCCAACAUUACCCACUUGGAAUGACACAGUAAAUAAUAUAUCAGAAAAUAAGAAGAAUCAGUCCUCAUGUUAUAUGAGUUAUGCUGCAGUUAUAUCAAAUGCAAUACAGCACCUGUGUGCAGUUUUAAAGAAUACAUGGUUCCCUUCCAAGGAUGCAGCACACAGAGUUUCUGAUUUGAUGAAAGAGAGACUGAGGACAGACAGACGUUCAAGACCCAGGACCCCUUUCUCUGAUCAGUGUGGUUUUAUUGUGCGGCAGAAGAAGAUGGCAUGUACUUGAACACCUUGAUUUGUUUUUAUAACAAUAGCCAUCAUAUAUACUUCUGAACGUGUUGCCAUAAAUUGCAACUUUUAUUAUUUGUAAGUCCUACAGACCUGUUUUAUCAUUUAUAGUCACAUUCAAUAAUAAUAAUAAAAAAAGAAUACAUGACGUAUAAAAUCAGUUGUUUACAUGGAAAAUUAAAAACUAUG
RNA transcript from Bufo gargarizans (Asiatic toad), 1991 nucleotides. It is a transcript of the gene named sterile alpha motif domain containing 5, with no coding region annotated. The record is from RefSeq and is a predicted model, not a curated record. The transcript is spliced from 4 exons. NCBI's taxonomy places the organism in Eukaryota, Metazoa, Chordata, Amphibia, Anura, Bufonidae.